GAUGACUGCCACAGCAUGGUGUGCCAAGUGGUGCCAUGUCCGCACCCAGGAUCCGAACCGGUGAACCCCAGGCCGCCAAAGCGGAACGUGCGAAUUUAACCGCUGCACCACCGGGCCGGCCCAGCCUCUCUUGACAGAUGAAGAAACUGAGGCUGAGAGACGUUAAGUUUCCAGAAAAUGCGUGGCGUGUGUGUGAACCCAGGGACCUCGGCCAGGAAUAUCGUGGCUUUAAGAGACUGAAACUCAGAUCCUUGCUGUCUGGAGGCCUUGUUUCCACAUCUGUAAAAUAAGAAAGCAGAGUGAGCCAGACUGGGUGACCCGGGAGACCUUGUGUCCCUCCUAGAUGCCUUCAUUUAUUGGUUCAUUCCGUUGACGGGCGUUUAUUGAGGCAGGAUGGGGCAGUGGUUAAGGACAAAGACUUUGGACUCAGGCAGACCCAGGUUGGAAUCCCAACUCUGGCUGUCUGUUGGCUGUGUGACCAUAGACAAGUCACCUAACCUCUGUGAACAUGAAUUGCUGCCUCUGCAAAUCAGGAAUAAUAAUAAUACUUAAGUCAAGGAAUCGAGGGAGAUUAAAUGACAUGAGUGCCUAGGGGCCUUGUGGGAACAGCCCCAGCCGUGCCCUCGUGGGCUCACAAUCUAGAGGGAGAGACAGACCCGUCCCCAGUCAGCGAUGACUCAGAGUGGGCACGGCUGGAAUGGGGUCGCCCAGAGAAGUCGGCUGACCCAGCCUGGGGGUCAGGAGGGCUUCCUGGGGGAGGAGGCAUCAGAGCUGAGCAGUGACGGACAUGGUAAGCACUCAAGACUUAGGAAUCAUCUGUGCAAAAGACAGUCUGUGGACAUGUAGAGCAAGGGAAUAUUACACGGUCUGGGGAGACGGCUUAGCUCCAGCCAUUCGUUCAUCCUGCUAACAUCCCCUGCUCUGCUCUCGCAUCAGUGACCAGGACAGCCCUGGCCCUGACCUCCCCGGGCUCACAGAUUACCAGCGAGGACAGACAUCAAACAAGCCAUGAUCCAAAUCAUUACUUCCAAAGGAAAUCACAGAAAGUUGGAAAAUCACAUUGUAAGAAGACCUUUCCUCUGACAUUCAUGAAUUCCUCCCUCUGUCACCUCCCAACCAUGAGCCCAUCCGCAGAGACAAUACAUUCACUCAAUAAGCAUUUAUGAAGCUUUUUUUUUUUUUUUUUUUUUUUUUUGCUGAGGAAGAUUGGCCCCGUAUUAAGCUCUUUCUGAAGGCAGGACACACUGUCUGCCAUCACGGAGUUCUCAACAGGCCUUGUUCCGAUUUUGCUACUUGAUCAAAUGGAGACAACAUGAGUUGACAGGGACAGUGCCACUGCCCCGUUCAAUCAAUGCAACCAGAAGAGCUUCUUACAACCAAUAUCUCAUAGGUCCCUCCUCUUAUGCCCUUUGGUGGCUCCCUGUGGCUCAGAAAGCAAAGACCAAGUACAUCACCAGUUCUUAACCCC
This 1468-nucleotide long non-coding RNA is filed under the name Equus caballus (horse). Its description in RNAcentral is "lncRNA (ENSECAG00000056523.1)". The record is from RNAcentral. Lineage: Eukaryota; Metazoa; Chordata; Mammalia; Perissodactyla; Equidae.